AAGGUUUCCGUAGGUGAACCUGCGGAAGGAUCAUUAACGAAUUAACGAGAGAUUGAUGCUGGUGUUCAUUCAUAUGUGCUCGCUCUCUUAAUCCAAUCACACUUGUGCACCUUAUUUUGAAGAAGGCGAGGCUUCCUUAUGGAUGGCUUUCCCUCCUUUGAAACUUAAACAAACUCUAUUAUCAUCAAGAAUGUUUAUAUGCUGCAAGGCAAAAUAAAAUACAACUUUUAACAACGGAUCUCUUGGCUCUCGCAUCGAUGAAGAACGCAGCGAAAUGCGAUAAGUAAUGUGAAUUGCAGAAUUCAGUGAAUCAUCGAAUCUUUGAACGCACCUUGCGCUCCCUGGUAUUCCGGGGAGCACGCCUGUUCGAGUGUCAUGAAUCUCUCAAAUCAGAUGCUUUAUUGUUGUCUUGAUUUGGAUUUGGACUCUGCUGCGUCAAAUGCAGCUGGUCUUAAAAGCAUUAGCUGGUCCUCAUGUAGGUUUGGUUCUACUCAGCGUGAUAAUUAUCUACCGCUGAGGACAUUCUUCGGAGUGGCCAGGCUCACUUAGGACUGCUUCUAAUAGUCCUUUGGACAAUUUAUCUUAAUCUGACCUCGAAUCAGGUGGGACUACCCG
This 615-nucleotide ribosomal RNA is filed under the name uncultured Gomphaceae. RNAcentral describes it as "eukaryotic LSU rRNA". The stretch from base 223 to 376 matches the Rfam family "5.8S ribosomal RNA". The record is from RNAcentral. Lineage: Eukaryota; Fungi; Basidiomycota; Agaricomycetes; Gomphales; Gomphaceae.